RNAcentral lists this transfer RNA (85 nucleotides) under Persicobacter diffluens. RNAcentral describes it as "tRNA-Ser". It matches the Rfam family "tRNA". From Rfam's summary of the family: Transfer RNA (tRNA) molecules are approximately 80 nucleotides in length. Lineage: Bacteria; Pseudomonadati; Bacteroidota; Cytophagia; Cytophagales; Persicobacteraceae. The record is from RNAcentral. RNAcentral also lists the same sequence under 1 other name.
AGAGAGGUGGCCGAGCGGUUUAAGGCGCACGCCUGGAAAGCGUGUUGGGUUCACGCCCUCGAGGGUUCGAAUCCCUUCCUCUCUG